This 182-nucleotide small RNA is filed under the name Salmonella enterica subsp. arizonae serovar 62:z4,z23:-. Its description in RNAcentral is "Salmonella enterica subsp. arizonae serovar 62:z4,z23:-- Gammaproteobacterial sRNA STnc100". It matches the Rfam family "Gammaproteobacterial sRNA STnc100". Lineage: Bacteria; Pseudomonadati; Pseudomonadota; Gammaproteobacteria; Enterobacterales; Enterobacteriaceae. The record is from Rfam by way of RNAcentral.
UCUGGUGAGUUGUAGAUUUUUCUUAUGCGUUGAAUCCCCCUUUACGGCGGGGCGUCCAGUCGAAAUAGUUAAUGUUCCUCGCGAAUCAUAUUGACUGUGGUAUGGUUCACCGGGAGGCACCCGGCACCGCUAUUUUAUAAAGUGAAAUUCACCGUCUAUCGUUUAGUGCGGUGGUUUUUCAC